RNAcentral lists this ribosomal RNA (497 nucleotides) under uncultured bacterium. RNAcentral describes it as "partial 16S ribosomal RNA". It matches the Rfam family "Bacterial small subunit ribosomal RNA", at positions 28 to 507 of the family's 1533-position model. The record is from RNAcentral.
GAUGAACGCUGGCGGCGUGCCUAAUACAUGCAAGUCGAGCGAACGGACGAGAAGCUUGCUUCUCUGAUGUUAGCGGCGGACGGGUGAGUAACACGUGGAUAACCUACCUAUAAGACUGGGAUAACUUCGGGAAACCGGAGCUAAUACCGGAUAAUAUUUUGAACCACAUGGUUCAAAAGUGAAAGACGGUCUUGCUGUCACUUAUAGAUGGAUCCGCGCUGCAUUAGCUAGUUGGUAAGGUAACGGCUUACCAAGGCAACGAUGCAUAGCCGACCUGAGAGGGUGAUCGGCCACACUGGAACUGAGACACGGUCCAGACUCCUACGGGAGGCAGCAGUAGGGAAUCUUCCGCAAUGGGCGAAAGCCUGACGGAGCAACGCCGCGUGAGUGAUGAAGGUCUUCGGAUCGUAAAACUCUGUUAUUAGGGAAGAACAUAUGUGUAAGUAACUGUGCACAUCUUGGCGGUACCUAAUCAGAAAGCCACGGCUAACUACGUG